This 253-nucleotide unclassified non-coding RNA is filed under the name uncultured Acidobacteriota bacterium. Its description in RNAcentral is "uncultured Acidobacteria bacterium contains 16S-23S intergenic spacer region". It matches the Rfam family "Bacterial small subunit ribosomal RNA", at positions 524 to 776 of the family's 1533-position model. Lineage: Bacteria; Pseudomonadati; Acidobacteriota. The record is from RNAcentral.
GACGGAGGGCGCGAGCGUUGUUCGGAAUUAUUGGGCGUAAAGGGCGCGUAGGCGGCUGUGCAAGUCAGGGGUGAAAUCCCUCGGCUCAACCGAGGAACUGCCUCUGAAACUGCACGGCUUGAGACCGGGAGAGGGUGGUGGAAUUCCUAGUGUAGCGGUGAAAUGCGUAGAUAUUAGGAGGAACACCAGUGGCGAAGGCGACCACCUGGACCGGACCUGACGCUGAGGCGCGAAAGUGUGGGGGGCAAACAGG